This 74-nucleotide transfer RNA is filed under the name Natrarchaeobius halalkaliphilus. It matches the Rfam family "tRNA". From Rfam's summary of the family: Transfer RNA (tRNA) molecules are approximately 80 nucleotides in length. Their secondary structure includes four short double-helical elements and three loops (D, anti-codon, and T loops). Further hydrogen bonds mediate the characteristic L-shaped molecular structure. tRNAs have two regions of fundamental functional importance: the anti-codon, which is responsible for specific mRNA codon recognition, and the 3' end, to which the tRNAs corresponding amino acid is attached (by aminoacyl-tRNA synthetases). tRNAs cope with the degeneracy of the genetic code in two manners: having more than one tRNA (with a specific anti-codon) for a particular amino acid; and 'wobble' base-pairing, i.e. permitting non-standard base-pairing at the 3rd anti-codon position. The record is from Rfam by way of RNAcentral. Lineage: Archaea; Methanobacteriati; Methanobacteriota; Halobacteria; Halobacteriales; Natrialbaceae.
GCCAGGAGAGCAUGGGUGGUGCAUGCACUCGACUUGUAAUCGGGACUUCGUGGGUUCAAAUCCCACUCCUGGCU